AUUGAACGCUGGCGGAAUGCUUUACACAUGCAAGUCGAACGGCAGCACGGGGGCAACCCUGGUGGCGAGUGGCGAACGGGUGAGUAAUACAUCGGAACGUGCCCAGUCGUGGGGGAUAACGUAGCGAAAGUUACGCUAAUACCGCAUACGAUCUACGGAUGAAAGCGGGGGACCGUAAGGCCUCGCGCGAUUGGAGCGGCCGAUGUCAGAUUAGGUAGUUGGUGAGGUAAAGGCUCACCAAGCCGACGAUCUGUAGCUGGUCUGAGAGGACGACACGCCACACGGGGACUGAGACACGGCCCAGACUCCUACGGGAGGCAGCAGUGGGGAAUUUUGGACAAUGGGCGCAAGCCUGAUCCGGCCAUUCCGCGUGCAGGACGAAGGCCUUCGGGUUGUAAACUGCUUUUGUACGGAACGAAAAGGCUCUGGUUAAUACCUGGGGCUCAUGACGGUACCGUAAGAAUAAGCACCGGCUAACUACGUGCCAGCAGCCGCGGUAA
Molecule: ribosomal RNA, 500 nt
Filed under: uncultured bacterium
Lineage: Bacteria
Description: partial 16S ribosomal RNA
Rfam family: Bacterial small subunit ribosomal RNA
Source: RNAcentral